UGUGGGAGGUACCGAUCGCAAGAAUUUAAANUGCAAAUUGAACUGGNNCGGGGGACCCAGCCCCGAUGGCGGUGGAUGAUGAGGAUUUGAAUUCGAUGCAACGCGACAUAACCUUAUCUUACCCAUCACCAUGGCAGGAACACUGAAGAGAUUCCGCGCGUGCUCGAAAGAGAGCCUGCAGCACAGGUACUGUAUGGCUGUCGUCAGCUCGUGUCGUGAGAUGUUGGGUUAAGUCCCGCAACGAGCGCAACCCUUGUCAUUAGUUCAUACGCAAGAGCACUCUAAUGAGACUGCCGGUGACAAACCGGAGGAAGGUGGGGAUGACGUCAAGUCCUCAUGCCCCUUAUGGGUAGGGCUUCACACGUCAUACAAUGGUACAUACAGAGGGCCGCCAACCCGCGAGGGGGAGCUAAUCCCAGAAAGUGUAUCGUAGUCCGGAUUGUAGUCUGCAACUCGACUACAUGAAGUUGGAAUCGCUAGUAAUCGCGGAUCAGCAUGUCGCGGUGAAUACGUUCCCGGGUCUUGUACACACCGCCCGUCACACCAUGGGAGCGGGUUUCACCAGAAGUGGGUAGCUUAACCGCGAGGAGGCCGCCUCCCACGGUGGGAUUCGUGACUGGGGUGAAGUCGUAACAAGGUAGCCGU
This 645-nucleotide ribosomal RNA is filed under the name uncultured bacterium. RNAcentral's name for it is "bacterial SSU rRNA". It matches the Rfam family "Bacterial small subunit ribosomal RNA", at positions 874 to 1503 of the family's 1533-position model. The record is from RNAcentral.